RNAcentral lists this long non-coding RNA (229 nucleotides) under Manihot esculenta (cassava). RNAcentral's name for it is "long non-coding RNA (MESC_LNC012645)". Lineage: Eukaryota; Viridiplantae; Streptophyta; Magnoliopsida; Malpighiales; Euphorbiaceae. The record is from RNAcentral.
CGAAAGUCAGGCAGGUUCGGCGGCACCUUCGGCGGCCGAAACUCCCAGACAGAGACGAAACUCAUGCAUGUUCGGCGGCACCUUCGGCGGCCGAAAGUCCCAGACAGAGACGAAAGUCUCCUUUCGGGGGCAACUUCGGCAGCCGAAAGGCCUGCCUCCCCAGCCAUGUUCGGCGGCCGAAAGUCCCUUCGGCUGCCGAACCUGGUUUCUGCCAAAGGGCAGAAACUUG